UACAGGGGGUGCAAACGUUGCUCGGAAUUAUUGGGCGUAAAGCGCGUGUAGGCGGCUUUGCAAGUCGGGUGUGAAAGCCCUCAGCUCAACUGAGGAAGUGCGCCCGAAACUGCAGAGCUUGAGUACCGGAGAGGGUGGCGGAAUUCCCCAAAGUAGAGGUGAAAUUCGUAAGAUAUGGGGAGGAACACCGGUGGCGAAAGGCGGCCG
RNAcentral lists this ribosomal RNA (207 nucleotides) under uncultured bacterium. RNAcentral's name for it is "partial 16S ribosomal RNA". It matches the Rfam family "Bacterial small subunit ribosomal RNA", at positions 524 to 727 of the family's 1533-position model. The record is from RNAcentral.